AGUGAACGCUGGCGGUAGGCCUAACACAUGCAAGUCGAACGGCAGCACAGUAAGAGCUUGCUCUUACGGGUGGCGAGUGGCGGACGGGUGAGGAAUACAUCGGAAUCUACUUUUUCGUGGGGGAUAACGUAGGGAAACUUACGCUAAUACCGCAUACGACCUACGGGUGAAAGCAGGGGAUCUUCGGACCUUGCGCGAUUGAAUGAGCCGAUGUCGGAUUAGCUAGUUGGCGGGGUAAAGGCCCACCAAGGCGACGAUCCGUAGCUGGUCUGAGAGGAUGAUCACCCCCACGGGAAAGGAAACCCGGCCAAGACCCAGAGGGGGGGGAGGAGGGGGAAAUUUGGGAAAAGGGGCGAAAGCCUGACCAGCCCAACCCGGGGGGGUGAAGAAGCCCUUGGGGUUGUAAAGCCUUUUUUUGGGAAAAAAAAAGAAGCGGUUUAAUCCCCCGUUUUUUUGGGGGUCCCAAAAAAAAAAGCCCCGGCAAACUUCG
Molecule: ribosomal RNA, 490 nt
Filed under: uncultured bacterium
Lineage: Bacteria
Description: partial 16S ribosomal RNA
Rfam family: Bacterial small subunit ribosomal RNA
Source: RNAcentral